AGACACAAUCACUGAAGGAGGAGAGUACAGGAGAUUUAGAGGAAGAAGAUCUGUGAAGAGGUUUGGGAGGAGUUAAGAAGGGAAAGCAAUCAGUCAUUUUUCCAAAGGCCAGUCUGCAGGGCUGGGACUGAGCACAGGCUGAAAUCAAGGUUGGACUACCUCUCAGCCCUUCUCAAGCCCUCCAGGCCUAGCAGUCUCCAUCUGAUCCUGUAUUGGAAAUGGGCAUGGAAGAUGCCACAACUUCUCAAGCUUUCCCUAGGAAAAGGGGUGGGUGAACUUCUGGCCUGAAGAAUCUGAGGAUGGAAGGUCAACUUUGCUCUUCUCCUGGGUUCUGGAACCAGACCUUCCUAACCUGCUCUGCUCACCUGGAGCCCCAGCCCACUGUCACCCAUGCCCUCAUCUCCAGACUCUUCUUCCAGCAAGUAAGAGUCACAGCAGCUAGGCUUGCAAAGCAGGGAUGGUGGCUUGGAGCACCAGCUUCCGUGUCAAGCAGGGCAGGCUGCACUCCCAGCGCCCUGGUGCCUCUGGCUCUCGAGGCUUGUUCCUCAUCUCUAGCUCCCUCACAGAGUUGUCCUGAGGCUCACAAUGGGAACA
Molecule: long non-coding RNA, 594 nt
Filed under: Homo sapiens (human)
Lineage: Eukaryota; Metazoa; Chordata; Mammalia; Primates; Hominidae
Description: HSALNT0386154
Source: RNAcentral